GAUGAACGCUGGCGGCGUGCUUAACACAUGCAAGUCGAACGGUGAAGCAGGAGCUUGCUCUUGUGGAUCAGUGGCGAACGGGUGAGUAACACGUGAGCAACCUGCACCUGACUCUGGGAUAAGCGCUGGAAACGGCGACUAAUACUGGAUAUGUGAUGUGACCGCAUGGUCUGCAUCUGGAAAGACUGUAGGUUGGGGAUGGGCUCGCGGCCUAUCAGCUUGCUGGUGAGGUAAUGGCUCACCAAGGCGUCGGCGGGUAGCCGGCCUGAGAGGGUGACCGGCCACACUGGGACUGAAACACGGCCCAGACUCCUACGGGAGGCAGCAGUGGGGAAUAUUGCACAAUGGGCGGAAGCCUGAUGCAGCAACGCCGCGUGAGGGAUGACGGCCUUCGGGUUGUAAACCUCUUUUAGCAGGGAAGAAGCGAAAGUGACGGUACCUGCAGAAAAAGCACCGGCUAACUACGUGCCAGCCGCCGCGGUAA
RNAcentral lists this ribosomal RNA (484 nucleotides) under uncultured bacterium. RNAcentral describes it as "partial 16S ribosomal RNA". It matches the Rfam family "Bacterial small subunit ribosomal RNA", at positions 28 to 523 of the family's 1533-position model. The record is from RNAcentral.